This 914-nucleotide ribosomal RNA is filed under the name uncultured archaeon. Its description in RNAcentral is "bacterial SSU rRNA". It matches the Rfam family "Archaeal small subunit ribosomal RNA", at positions 1 to 923 of the family's 1478-position model. The record is from RNAcentral.
UUCCGGUUGAUCCUGCCGGACCUGACUGCUAUCGGAUUAAUACUAAGCCAUGCGAGUUUUUGUAGUAAUACAAGGCAUACGGCUCAGUAACACGUAGUCAACCUACCCUAUGGACGAGGAUAAUCUCGGGAAACUGAGCAUAAUACUCGAUAGAUCAUAAUGCCUGGAAUGGUUUAUGGUUGAAAUGAUUCGUUCGCCAUAGGAUGGGACUGCGGCCUAUCAGCUUGUUGGUGGGGUAAUGGCCCACCAAGGCGAUUACAGGUACGGGCUCUGAGAGGAGAAGCCCGGAGAUGGGUACUGAGACACGGACCCAGGCCCUAUGGGGCGCAGCAGGCGAGAAAACUUUGCAAUGUGCGAAAGCACGACAAGGUUAGUCCGAGUGAUUUCUGCUAAAGAAAUCUUUUGCCAGUUGUAAAACUACUAGUGAAUAAGGGGUGGGCAAGUUCUGGUGUCAGCCGCCGCGGUAAAACCAGCACCUCAAGUGGUCAGGAGGAUUAUUGGGCCUAAAGCAUCCGUAGCCGGCUUUGUUAGUUUUCGGUUAAAUCCAUGCGCUCAACGUAUGGGCUGCCGAGAAUACUGCAUAGCUAGGGAGUGGGAGAGGUAGACGGUACUCGGUAGGAAGGGGUAAAAUCCUUUGAUCUAUCGAUGACCACCUGUGGCGAAGGCGGUCUACCAGAACACGUUCGACGGUGAGGGAUGAAAGCUGGGGGAGCAAACCGGAUUAGAUACCCGGGUAGUCCCAGCUGUAAACGAUGCAGACUCGAUGAUGCAUUGGCAUAUAGCCGGUGCAGUGUCGCAGGGAAGCCGUUAAGUCUGCCGCCUGGGAAGUACGUACGCAAGUAUGAAACUUAAGGAAUUGGCGGGGGAGCACCACAGGGGUGAAGCCUGCGGUUCAAUUGGAGUCAACGCCCGGA